UUGACCUCGAAUCAGGUAGGGAUACCCGCUGAACUUAAGCAUAUCAAUAAGCGGAGGAAAAGAAACCAACCGGGAUUAC
Molecule: ribosomal RNA, 79 nt
Filed under: Phyllactinia moricola
Lineage: Eukaryota; Fungi; Ascomycota; Leotiomycetes; Helotiales; Erysiphaceae
Description: partial 28S ribosomal RNA
Rfam family: Eukaryotic large subunit ribosomal RNA
Source: RNAcentral